RNAcentral lists this ribosomal RNA (426 nucleotides) under Megaselia longiseta. RNAcentral's name for it is "partial 16S ribosomal RNA". Lineage: Eukaryota; Metazoa; Arthropoda; Insecta; Diptera; Phoridae. The record is from RNAcentral.
UUUUAGAAAUUAAUUUAAAGUCUAACCUGCCCAUUGAAUAUUUUUAACGGCCGCAGUAUUUUAACUGUGCAAAGGUAGCAUAAUCAUUAGUCUUUUAAUUAAAGGCUGGUAUGAAUGGUUGAAUGAGAUAUUUACUGUUUCAUAUAAAUUAAUAAUAAAAUUUUAUUUUUUAGUUAAAAAGCUAAAAUUUAUUUAAAAGACGAGAAGACCCUAUAAAUCUUUAUAUUUUUUUUUAUUUUAAUUAUAUUGAUAAUUUAAAUUAUUAUAAAAUAAAAUAUUUUAUUGGGGUGAUAUUAAAAUUUAAAAAACUUUUAAUUAAUAAUUUACAUAAAUUAAUGAAUUAUUGAUCCAUAUAGUAUGAUUAUAAAAUUAAGUUACUUUAGGGAUAACAGCGUAAUUUUUUUAAAGAGUUCAUAUUGAUAAAAA